GAGGCUUUGAAGCACGUACGCCAGUAUGUGUGGAGCCGUCCUUGAAAUACCACCCUUGUAGUGUUGAUGUUCUAACGUCGACCCCUUAUCGGGUUGCGGACAGUGCCUGGUGGGUAGUUUGACUGGGGCGGUCUCCUCCCAAAGAGUAACGGAGGAGCACGAAGGUGGGCUAAUCACGGUUGGACAUCGUGAGGUUAGUGCAAUGGCAUAAGCCCGC
This 217-nucleotide ribosomal RNA is filed under the name Vibrio parahaemolyticus. RNAcentral's name for it is "partial 23S ribosomal RNA". It matches the Rfam family "Bacterial large subunit ribosomal RNA", at positions 2151 to 2368 of the family's 2925-position model. The record is from RNAcentral. Lineage: Bacteria; Pseudomonadati; Pseudomonadota; Gammaproteobacteria; Vibrionales; Vibrionaceae.